UAAGUAAUGUGAAUUGCAGAAUUCAGUGAAUCAAUCGAAUCUUUGAACGCACCUUGCGCUCCAUGGUAUUCCGUGGAGCAUGCCUGUUUGAGUGUCAUGA
RNAcentral lists this ribosomal RNA (100 nucleotides) under Rhodotorula mucilaginosa. RNAcentral's name for it is "5.8S ribosomal RNA". It matches the Rfam family "5.8S ribosomal RNA", at positions 59 to 154 of the family's 154-position model. From Rfam's summary of the family: 5.8S ribosomal RNA (5.8S rRNA) is a component of the large subunit of the eukaryotic ribosome. It is transcribed by RNA polymerase I as part of the 45S precursor that also contains 18S and 28S rRNA. Lineage: Eukaryota; Fungi; Basidiomycota; Microbotryomycetes; Sporidiobolales; Sporidiobolaceae. The record is from RNAcentral.